RNAcentral lists this ribosomal RNA (467 nucleotides) under uncultured bacterium. Its description in RNAcentral is "partial 16S ribosomal RNA". It matches the Rfam family "Bacterial small subunit ribosomal RNA", at positions 28 to 507 of the family's 1533-position model. The record is from RNAcentral.
GACGAACGCUGGCGGCGUGCUUAACACAUGCAAGUCGAACGGAAAGGCCUCUUUCGGGGGGUACUCGAGUGGCGAACGGGUGAGUAACACGUGAGUAACCUGCCCUUGACUUUGGGAUAACUUCAGGAAACUGGGGCUAAUACCGGAUAGGAGCUCCUGCUGCAUGGUGGGGGUUGGAAAGUUUCGGCGGUUGGGGAUGGACUCGCGGCUUAUCAGCUUGUUGGUGGGGUAGUGGCUUACCAAGGCUUUGACGGGUAGCCGGCCUGGGAGGGUGACCGGCCACAUUGGGACUGAGAUACGGCCCAGACUCCUACGGGAGGCAGAAGUGGGGAAUAUUGCACAAUGGGAGGAAGCCUGAUGCAGCAACGCCGUGUGCGGGAUGACGGCCUUCGGGUUGUAAACCGCUUUCGCUCAUGACGAAGCUUUGUGUGACGGUAGUGGGUAAAGAAGCACCGGCUAACUACGUG